Molecule: ribosomal RNA, 435 nt
Filed under: uncultured bacterium
Lineage: Bacteria
Description: bacterial SSU rRNA
Rfam family: Bacterial small subunit ribosomal RNA
Source: RNAcentral
CGGAGGCAGCAGUGAGGAAUAUUGCACAAUGGGCGAAAGCCUGAUGCAGCAACGCCGCGUGCACGAUGAAGGCCUUCGGGUCGUAAAGUGCUUUUCUGGGAGAUGAGAAAGGACAGUAUCCCAGGAAUAAGUCUCGGCUAACUACGUGCCAGCAGCCGCGGUAAAACGUAGGAGGCAAGCGUUAUCCGGAUUCACUGGGCGUAAAGCGUGUGCAGGCGGUUCGGUAAGUUGGGCGUGAAAUCUCCCGGCUUAACUGGGAGAGGUCGUUCAAUACUACCGGACUAGAGAGCAGUAGAGGAAGAUGGAAUUCCCGGUGUAGUGGUGAAAUGCGUAGAUAUCGGGAGGAACACCAGUGGCGAAGGCGAUCUUCUGGACUGCGUCUGACGCUCAUACACGAAAGCUAGGGUAGUAAACGGGCUUAGAUACCCUGGUAGA